This 210-nucleotide ribosomal RNA is filed under the name Triticum aestivum (bread wheat). RNAcentral describes it as "partial small subunit ribosomal RNA". The record is from RNAcentral. Lineage: Eukaryota; Viridiplantae; Streptophyta; Magnoliopsida; Poales; Poaceae.
AUGGGUCUGUCCGCGAAGGUCUUCGUGGUCCUCCUGCUGCUUCUCGUCGCCACGGUGGCUCUGGCGAGGGAUUGCGAGUCGGAUAGCCACAAGUUCCAUGGGGCGUGCUUCAGCGACACCAACUGUGCGAACGUCUGCCAGACCGAGGGCUUCACCGCCGGCAAGUGCGUCGGCGUCCAGCGCCACUGCCACUGCACCAAGGACUGCUAG